Molecule: non-coding RNA, 81 nt
Organism: Podarcis lilfordi (Lilford's wall lizard)
Lineage: Eukaryota; Metazoa; Chordata; Lepidosauria; Squamata; Lacertidae
Source: the annotation of a GenBank genome assembly
GGGCUGUAUGUAGCUCAGUGGUGGAGCAUCUGCUUUGAAUGCAGAAGGUCCCAGGUUCAAUCCCCAGGAAGGGGUGGUUCA